GACGAACGCUGGCGGCGUGCUUAACACAUGCAAGUCGAACGAAGAGCGAUGGAAGCUUGCUUCUAUCAAUCUUAGUGGCGAACGGGUGAGUAACGCGUAAUCAACCUGCCCUUCAGAGGGGGACAACAGUUGGAAACGACUGCUAAUACCGCAUACGAUCUAAUCUCGGCAUCGAGGAUAGAUGAAAGGUGGCCUCUACAUGUAAGCUAUCACUGAAGGAGGGGAUUGCGUCUGAUUAGCUAGUUGGAGGGGUAACGGCCCACCAAGGCGAUGAUCAGUAGCCGGUCUGAGAGGAUGAACGGCCACAUUGGGAAUGAGACACGGCCCAGACUCCUACGGGAGGCAGCAGUGGGGAAUCUUCCGCAAUAGACGAAAGUCUGACGGAGCAACGCCGCGUGAGUGAUGACGGCCUUCGGGUUGUAAAGCUCUGUUAAUCGGGACGAAAGGCCUUCUUGCGAAUAGUGAGAAGGAUUGACGGUACCGGAAUAGAAAGCCACGGCUAACUACGUG
Molecule: ribosomal RNA, 510 nt
Filed under: uncultured bacterium
Lineage: Bacteria
Description: partial 16S ribosomal RNA
Rfam family: Bacterial small subunit ribosomal RNA
Source: RNAcentral